This is a non-coding RNA of Acanthosepion pharaonis, 109 nucleotides long. Lineage: Eukaryota; Metazoa; Mollusca; Cephalopoda; Sepiida; Sepiidae. The record is from the annotation of a GenBank genome assembly.
AACCAUAUUACACUGAACCACCAGUUCUCAUGCCAUCACCAAAGUUAAUCAACGUCAAGCCUGGUCAGUACCUAGAUGGGUGAAUGCUUGGGAAUAUCAGGUGCCGUAA